GACGAACGCUGGCGGCGUGCUUAACACAUGCAAGUCGAGCGGUAAGGCCCUUUCGGGGGUACACGAGCGGCGAACGGGUGAGUAACACGUGGGUGACCUGCCCUCAGCUCUGGGAUAACGCCCGGGAAACGUGGGUCUAAUACCGGAUAUGACUUCAUGACGCAUGUUGUAGGAGUGGAAAGCCUUGUGCGGCUGAGGAGUGGGCCCGCGGCCUAUCAGCUUGUUGGUGGGGUGANGGCCUACCAAGGCGACGACGGGUAGCCGGCCUGAGAGGGCGACCGG
This 282-nucleotide ribosomal RNA is filed under the name uncultured bacterium. RNAcentral's name for it is "partial 16S ribosomal RNA". It matches the Rfam family "Bacterial small subunit ribosomal RNA", at positions 28 to 307 of the family's 1533-position model. The record is from RNAcentral.